Molecule: ribosomal RNA, 126 nt
Filed under: Phoma herbarum
Lineage: Eukaryota; Fungi; Ascomycota; Dothideomycetes; Pleosporales; Didymellaceae
Also listed under: 1 other name
Description: partial large subunit ribosomal RNA
Rfam family: Eukaryotic large subunit ribosomal RNA
Source: RNAcentral
CGGCAACAGCUCAAAUUUGAAAUCUGGCGUCUUCGACGUCCGAGUUGUAAUUUGCAGAGGGCGCUUUGGCAUUGGCAGCGGUCCAAGUUCCUUGGAACAGGACGUCACAGAGGGUGAGAAUCCCGU